Molecule: non-coding RNA, 29 nt
Filed under: Mus musculus (house mouse)
Lineage: Eukaryota; Metazoa; Chordata; Mammalia; Rodentia; Muridae
Source: RNAcentral
UGCAAAACUAUUCUGUAAUUCUUGUUUUA